This 253-nucleotide ribosomal RNA is filed under the name uncultured bacterium. RNAcentral's name for it is "partial 16S ribosomal RNA". It matches the Rfam family "Bacterial small subunit ribosomal RNA", at positions 524 to 776 of the family's 1533-position model. The record is from RNAcentral.
UACAGAGACUGCAAGCGUUAUUCGGAUUCACUGGGCGUAAAGGGUGCGCAGGCGGCCGUGUGUGUCAGGUGUGAAAGCCCGGAGCUUAACUCCGGAAUUGCGCCUGAAACUACAUGGCUAGAGCAUUGGAGAGGGAAGUGGAAUUCACGGUGUAGCAGUGAAAUGCGUAGAUAUCCGGAGGAACACCAGUGGCGAAAGCGGCCACCUGGACUGCACCUGACGCUGACACGCGAAAGCUAGGGGAGCGAACGGG